Molecule: ribosomal RNA, 450 nt
Filed under: uncultured bacterium
Lineage: Bacteria
Description: bacterial SSU rRNA
Rfam family: Bacterial small subunit ribosomal RNA
Source: RNAcentral
GUGGGGAAUUUUGGACAAUGGGCGCAAGCCUGAUCCAGCAAUGCCGCGUGCAGGAAGAAGGCCUUCGGGUUGUAAACUGCUUUUGUACGGAACGAAACGGUCCGGGUUAAUACCCUGGGCUAAUGACGGUACCGUAAGAAUAAGCACCGGCUAACUACGUGCCAGCAGCCGCGGUAAUACGUAGGGUGCAAGCGUUAAUCGGAAUUACUGGGCGUAAAGCGUGCGCAGGCGGUUUUGUAAGACAGGCGUGAAAUCCCCGGGCUCAACCUGGGAAUUGCGCUUGUGACUGCAUGGCUAGAGUGCGUCAGAGGGGGGUGGAAUUCCGCGUGUAGCAGUGAAAUGCGUAGAGAUGCGGAGGAACACCGAUGGCGAAGGCAGCCCCCUGGGAUGACACUGACGCUCAUGCACGAAAGCGUGGGGAGCAAACAGGAUUAGAAACCCGGGUAGUCC